GACAUUACCAAGUGUGACAUGAUUUUGAAAUCUGCUAAGGGAGGAAUGAAGAGGAUCCGGUAAGAGAGCUGUAAGCACAUCAUUCAGUUCAGGAUGUACUGGAAAUUUAGCAAGCACCGGCAAAUUCCAUGUUCCCUUUUUUGGAAUCAUUUUGUUUCAUGGCUUCUCUGCUCUUCAAGUCCCUACAGCUAGAGACUUCAACUCUCACGGCCCACAGCCAGAGGCCGGUAAACAUGGCGAAAGCAAAAGCUUUAUCGAACAUCCGUUCAGGAGCCCAGCCCUGUGGAUUCUGGGAGGAGAGGAUUGUCUUGGAUAAGGAAUAUAACUCAGCCGCUUUCCAGUGACCACGGCGGUGUUAUCACAAGCAAAGUGUAUGGAUUCUCCUUGCUGCUCCCUGCUUUACCCAAAGGGCCACCCAGGUAUCCAAGGGGCCGAGGAGAGUGGUAGCCUCCUCUUAAACCAUGUGGAGACCUUAAUGGGUGGGAAUUAUGAGUAGAGUUAUCCACUGUGGGUCACUGUUCUUUCCGCAUUAAAGAACGGGCUGAAUUGGGCUGUUCCCCAUUGAGAAUUCAUGAGGAUAGUCACCCCUUUUUUUAAUUGGUCCUGUAUAAUGGGUUUCAAUCCUUGGUAAUACUAUUCACUUUACAUCGAGUUGAAUUAAUUAUUUUUAAUGGAGGGCAAGGGGGUAGGUCCAUGGAGUCUAACUGUGUCUAGUCAACUUGUAAGGUGCAUGAAACCUAAUUUGAUUUUAAUUUAUUAGCCAUUGUGUCACAUUGUCCACAUCCAUUUUGUAAUAUUUUAGGGCUAUGGAUGCUGCGAUGAUGGGAAUUUAGGCAAGACAGGAAUUCCAGGGAUUAAGGUGAGGGAUACUUGUUUGUCCUCUAUUUUAUUUUUUUAAU
This 899-nucleotide long non-coding RNA is filed under the name Sus scrofa (pig). RNAcentral's name for it is "lncRNA (ENSSSCG00065038414.1)". Lineage: Eukaryota; Metazoa; Chordata; Mammalia; Artiodactyla; Suidae. The record is from RNAcentral.